GAGGAAACACCCGUUCCCAUCCCGAACACGGAAGUUAAGCUCUCCAGCGCCGAUGGUAGUUGGGGCCAGCGCCCCUGCAAGAGUAGGUCGCUGCUAGGC
Molecule: ribosomal RNA, 99 nt
Filed under: Geobacillus thermodenitrificans
Lineage: Bacteria; Bacillati; Bacillota; Bacilli; Caryophanales; Anoxybacillaceae
Also listed under: 3 other names
Source: RNAcentral